Molecule: ribosomal RNA, 484 nt
Filed under: uncultured bacterium
Lineage: Bacteria
Description: partial 16S ribosomal RNA
Rfam family: Bacterial small subunit ribosomal RNA
Source: RNAcentral
AUUGAACGCUGGCGGCAGGCCUAACACAUGCAAGUCGAGCGGAUGAAGGGAGCUUGCUCCUGGAUUCAGCGGCGGACGGGUGAGUAAUGCCCAGGAAUCUGCCUGGCAUUGGGGGAUAACGUCCGGAAACGGGCGCUAAUACCGCAUACGUCCUGAGGGUGAAAGUGGGGGAUCUUUGGACCUAACGCUAUCAGAUGAGCCUAGGUCGGAUUAGCUAGUUGGUGGGGUAAAGGCCUACCAAGGCGACGAUCCGUAACUGGUCUGAGAGGAUGAUCAGUCACACUGGAACUGAGACACGGUCCAGACUCCUACGGGAGGCAGCAGUGGGGAAUAUUGGACAAUGGGCGAAAGCCUGAUCCAGCCAUGCCGCGUGUGUGAAGAAGGUCUUCGGAUUGUAAAGCACUUUAAGUUGGGAGGAAGGGCAGUAAGUUAAUACCUUGCUGUUUUGACGUUACCAACAGAAUAAGCACCGGCUAACUUCGUG